Molecule: ribosomal RNA, 411 nt
Filed under: Planorbis planorbis
Lineage: Eukaryota; Metazoa; Mollusca; Gastropoda; Planorbidae
Description: partial 16S ribosomal RNA
Rfam family: Bacterial large subunit ribosomal RNA
Source: RNAcentral
GUUUUUAAAAAAAAUCAAUGGCCGCAGUACCUUGACUGUGCUAAGGUAGCAUAAUCAAUUGGCUUUUAAUUAAGGUCUAGAAUGAAUGGGAUAAUGAAGUUAAUCUGUCUUAGUUGCUUUUAUUAAAAUUUAUUUAAAAGGUGAAAAUACCUUUUUUAAAAAUAAAGACGAGAAGACCCUUAGAAUUUUUAUUAUUUUUUUUUGUUGGGGCGACAGUUUAAAAAUAUAAUCUUAAAUUUAUUGUAUAUAUAACGAUUUUUUUAAUAGAAAUUAAAUUACCUUAGGGAUAACAGCAUAAUUAAUUAUUUAGUUUGUGACCUCGAUGUUGGACUAGGAACUAUAUGGCUAACCGUCUAAUUAGAUUUGUUCUGUUCGAACAAUUUUAUCCUACGUGAUCUGAGUUCAGACCGG